GUGAACCUGCGGAAGGAUCAUUGUCGAUACCUGCGAGGCAGACCGCGAACACGUGCUCAACCGCGCCGCGGGCGGGGAGCGGGGGUACCCCCCUCCGCGUCCGCGGCAACCCCCCGGCGGCGCACUCGCGUCGUGCGGGGCUAACGAACCCCGGCGCGGAACGCGCCAAGGAAAACCGAAACGAGGCGCCCUCCCCCCGUGCGAGCCCCGUCCGCGGGCGCUCCGGACGGGCGGGCAGGAUGCGCAUCACGUGAGAUGUCAAAACGACUCUCGGCAACGGAUAUCUAGGCUCUCGCAUCGAUGAAGAACGUAGCAAAAUGCGAUACUUGGUGUGAAUUGCAGAAUCCCGUGAACCAUCGAGUUUUUGAACGCAAGUUGCGCCCGAAGCCUUCGGGCCGAGGGCACGCCUGCCUGGGCGUCACGCAUCGCGUCGCCCCCCUCCACCCCGUCCUAGGUAGGCGGGGCGGCCGGGGGGCGGAGACUGGCCUCCCGUGCGCUCCCGUCGCGCGGCCGGCCCAAACGCGGUCCCCCGGCGGCGCCAGUCGCGACCAGUGGUGGUUGAAAUUUACUCAGCACAUCUGACGGUCGCGUGCAUCGGCGUCGUCCGGUCGGGAGCCAUCGUCGACCCAUCWGGCGCCAUUUAACAGGGCGC
RNAcentral lists this ribosomal RNA (652 nucleotides) under Dicliptera sp. Daniel 9194. RNAcentral describes it as "eukaryotic LSU rRNA". The stretch from base 266 to 421 matches the Rfam family "5.8S ribosomal RNA". Lineage: Eukaryota; Viridiplantae; Streptophyta; Magnoliopsida; Lamiales; Acanthaceae. The record is from RNAcentral.